GAUAAAAAAGAAAAACUCUUCAGGAGCAAGAAGGAAAAGAAACAUUCACUGCUAAGAAGGUUCAGUGACUUCCUUCUUUGGAUGAAAUGCUCAGAAAGGCCCUCCAAAGUCAUCUUUAAAGGUGAUGUUAACUCAGAAAAUAAAAAUAUUCCAAUCACUGAGGGAGGCUGAAGCAGGAAGAUCCAAGUUCAAGACCUGCUUGAGCAACUUAGCAAGUCUCUGUCAAAGAAAAAGAAAAGACCUGGGAAUGUAGCUCAGUGGUAUAGCACCCCUGGAUUUGAUGCACAGUGCUGAAAUAAAUAAAUAAAUACUGGCAUAAACUUAAGAGUAUUUGGAGAAUAUCUCAAUAGUAGCACCAAGAAAAAAAUAUAAAAUUUGUAGUAUAGUUGAGAAUACUCCACGCUGCAUGUGACUUGCUCAAGGGCUUGUGCAGCAUCGGAUCCCACCUAGUUAACCAAGCCCUGACAUCCUUGUCUCAAGUCCUAGCGCAGCAGUUCUGCUAAGGAGUUCACACAAUGAGCAAAAUUUUGUCUUUUCUCUCUAUCUUGGUCAAUUUCAUUCGAUAGCAAAACUAUUUAAUAUAAACCCUAACACACACGGUUACUGGGUUCUAAAAUGGCCUACAGGUGAUGAUCACAGCUAUCGAGUAUAUGAAAUAAAAAUUUGACAAUUGCAUAUCUGGGUUUAUUACUGUUAUUUCAACAUGUAUUAAAGGAAAAAGCUUAUUAUUCCUCAUCUUCACCUCCAAUUACUUUAUCUACAGUCUGACUGUCUUUACAUGUUACUCAGGAUUGCCACCAUUCCAAAAUCAUCACUUUCCUACCCCCAGUUAAAACUUCUGCUCUCAAAUAAUUAUUAAAGUAUUUCAGGUUAAGAGGGGAAUGAAGCUUAACUCUAUCCAUUUAAAAGAGUUUGUGACUAUAAAUCAGUCCUUAAUUACUAGAAGCACAGUGAAACAGUGGGCAUUCUUAAUUUUCUCACCAAGUCCCUCAGACUUUGUCUUUCUUUACCUCAUUUUUCAGAGAAUGAAUAUAGAGCAGCAAUUUUUCUGUGCCAAAGAAUCUUAUGCUGCCCUCUCUCUUCCUCGCUGGAAUUCUCACUCUUCCCAUGUUCAGGAGAAAAGAGCCACCAGUUUGGGAGAGCGUAUCUUGGUGCAGAUAACAGAAGGUGCUUUUGUUAGAUACCAUGGACCCCUCUCCGCUUCCUCUGGAACAAAGCCUUCCGACUGAGUUGCUGGUAAUGCUGAGCAUUUCAACAAAGCAGAAGCAACAUCUCUUGUGAACUUGUUAAAUAAUUAGGAGAUACUGCAAGAACUAUAUGAAAACUAUGUAAACCACCCAAGG
This is a long non-coding RNA of Fukomys damarensis (Damara mole-rat), 1343 nucleotides long. Lineage: Eukaryota; Metazoa; Chordata; Mammalia; Rodentia; Bathyergidae. The record is from Ensembl.